Molecule: ribosomal RNA, 392 nt
Filed under: uncultured soil bacterium
Lineage: Bacteria
Description: bacterial SSU rRNA
Rfam family: Bacterial small subunit ribosomal RNA
Source: RNAcentral
AGAGUGAACGCUGGCGGUAGGCCUAACACAUGCAAGUCGAACGGCAGCACAGUGGUAGCAAUACCAUGGGUGGCGAGUGGCGGACGGGUGAGGAAUACAUCGGAAUCUACCUUUUCGUGGGGGAUAACGUAGGGAAACUUACGCUAAUACCGCAUACGCCCUUUGGGGGAAAGCCGGGGAUCGCAAGACCUGGCGCGGAUAGAUGAGCCGAUGUCGGAUUAGCUAGUUGGUGAGGUAAUGGCUCACCAAGGCGACGAUCCGUAGCUGGUCUGAGAGGAUGAUCAGCCACACUGGAACUGAGACACGGUCCAGACUCCUACGGGAGCAGCAGUGGGGAAUAUUGGACAAUGGGCGCAAGCCUGAUCCAGCCAUACCGCGUGGGUGAAGAAAGG